AUUGAACGCUGGCGGCAUGCCUUACACAUGCAAGUCGAACGGCAGCACGGGAGCAAUCCUGGUGGCGAGUGGCGAACGGGUGAGUAAUAUAACGGAACGUGCCCAGUCGUGGGGGAUAACGUAGCGAAAGCUACGCUAAUACCGCAUGCGAUCUAUGGAUGAAAGCGGGGGAUCGAAAGAACUCGCGCGAUUGUAGGGGACGAUAUCAGAUUAGGUAGUUGGUGAGGUAAAGGCUCACCAAGCCGACGAUCUGUAGCUGGUCUGAGAGGACGACCAGCCACACUGGGACUGAGACACGGCCCAGACUCCUACGGGAGGCAGCAGUGGGGAAUUUUGGACAAUGGGCGCAAGCCUGAUCCAGCAAUGCCGCGUGCAGGAUGAAGGCCUUCGGGUUGUAAACUGCUUUUGUACGGAACGAAACGGCGAGCUCUAAUACAGUUUGCUAAUGACGGUACCGUAAGAAUAAGCACCGGCUAACUACGUGCCAGCCGCCGCCGUAA
This 500-nucleotide ribosomal RNA is filed under the name uncultured bacterium. Its description in RNAcentral is "partial 16S ribosomal RNA". It matches the Rfam family "Bacterial small subunit ribosomal RNA", at positions 30 to 523 of the family's 1533-position model. The record is from RNAcentral.